AAUAGAGAAAGAAUAAUACAAAUUUCCUCGGGACCCUGAGCCGCCAUUCCAAGGAGGUGCCUUUUGGGAUGCGAAUCUGUGGCUUGUUAAUUGUUGCAGUCUCAGCAUAAUUCCGUGAAGAUACAACUGUUCCACUGAGGAGUAAAUUAUUCAAUAUGUCAUCACGUCCACAUGGCCGGGGGAUGCGGGGCGGCCACCACCAGCAUCAGCAUCAGCACCAGCACCAGCACCAGCAUCAUGGGUAUGGGCACCGGGGUGGCCAGUGGAUGCACAAGGGAGGCAAUCGAGGGAAUAGGUCUGAUUACCACCACCAGCACAACCAUGGUGGUGGGCGCUCCCCACGGCCUGGCAUGCGACAUGCUGACCCAGAGAAGCUGCUGGCAUCGCUGGGACCUGAUGCCCAGCUUGCACUCACAACGGCCAUCAUUAACUCUGUCCUAAAGACCUCAGAAGACAAGGAUCCUCGUGGAGGUUUCCGAGACAACAGGGAACCAAACUACCGCAACAGGGAUAACCGUCGUGAGGGACGAGGAGGUUACUACAAGGAGGAGAUGCGACCACGCAGGCCUUAUGGAGAGCCCCGCAGAUAUGAUAGCAGGUGGCACAACGAGGAGGGGCGCGGCCAUCACUUUGAGCGAGAGAAAGUCAACGCCGGCCCCCCUCGCCACCAGUAUGGCAACAGAUACCCUCCUGGCACUACCAAGAGGAGGUUGUCACCCCAAAUGCACCCAGGCCCCACUUACAAACGACAGAGAAUGGACAAAGUAGAUCCCAAUGGUGGGGAACGAGAUUCUCACCGUGACCUUGAGUUGAUGGAAGAUGAUGGCCUGGAGGGCAUGGAACACCCGAGGGAGAGAGAGCGCCACACUUCUGGCUUAGAGGAGGAGCGAGGUCACCGGAACAUGGCUGAAGGCAUGGAAGGCGAGUCAGGACCCAGUGGAGUGCAGGUGACCAUAAGAGCUGACGGGGAGCGGGCGGUGAACAGUGACGGCCAUGUGAGGCGAGUGGCUGGCAGACUGUUUGUGGAGCUCAGGUGCCCGCACUGUCCCAACCAGAAGUCCAUCACUUUCAAGGAAUACAAGAUGCACUUGAUAAGUGACUACCACAAGUCACGGCUUCAGAGACUUGCAAGGAAGCACACUGUUGUUCUGCGCAAGAUACGUGUACAGCAGAGGCAGGAGCAGAGGGACAUUGAAAACAAGUGGAGGGAGGAGAACCCUGAAGAAUUUAACACUGUAGUGUCCAGGUUCUGCAAUGCAUGCAAACUGGCAUUCAAGUGUUUGGGCAGCAACACCAGUGAAGGCAUCAACCAACACAACAGGAGCAAGUUACACAGGAUGCAGCGCCACUACCUACACCCUCGCUGUGGAUUGUGUCGCAUCACCUUCCCAACUCGAAUGGAGUAUGAGCGUCACGUGGCUUCCAUCAACCACCUGAGGGUGCGCACUGCUACUAUUGACCAGGGAGGCAACAGGCGCCCCGAUGAACGUGCACAGGAAGAGGAGGGUGGCGACCUUGAUCUUGCCAACUUCAUGACCUUGGAUUCUGUUGGAGAAGAUGGUGAGGGCACUGCUUCAGAUGAGGAGGGUGGAGGCUCGGAGCACGAGGAGAUCACGGGAGGCGUGGAUGCAGCAGAACCCCAGGACAAGGAGGUGACAGGAGCUGAAGAUGAUGACCUUGAUAGCAUUUCAGGGCAGAGCAAUGCUGAGAAAUCAACUCCCACUAGGAGGGGAAAGGAAACCAAGGAGAUAGGGAACAAGUCAGCACACAGAGAAGAUGAGGAGGAGGAGGAUGAGGAUAUGCUGGAGACAGAGUGGGACAAGGAACAGCAUGAAGAUGAAGAAGAGGAAGGUCACCAACCAUUGGGAACAGAGUAUGUGCGUCGUAUUGAGGCAUAUUACUGCAGCUUGUGCUACAAAAUCAUCCGGGCAGACUCUUCAUUGGGAUCUCGUGCUGUUCAGCGCCACUGCCGCUCCUUCAGUCACCUCUCCCACUACAGGGACCAUCACCCUAAUCUUCCCCAAGAUGAAGAGGGUGCAAGUGGGGAAGAUGGAGAGGGUGAAGUUGAUCUAGAGGAGGAACCUGACCAAGACAAGUUGUGGGAGGAGGUUGACAAAGGUCUCACUGCUCUCCAAGGUGAAAUCAUGACUGAAAUGGAGCAUAAGGAAGAGGUUGAAGGAAAUAAGGAGGUAGAGGAAGAGAAAAAGGAAGAUGAGAAUGAUGAUAAUGAAAAAGCAGAUCUAGAAAGCUCCAAACAGGAACUUGAUGAAGAUGAAGAUGAUGAUAUCAGUAGCAUCAAAAAGGAAGAGGUGUAACCAGAAGCUGGGUACAGGACAUUGCCAUGUAGAGAAGAAGUUACCUUGUAGAGGCACAUGUGGAUGGGGUGGGGGACACUAACAGAGACGCAAAAAAUGGUGAAGAUUGGGAGGAGGUAGGGGAAGACUUUUCAGUCUAAAUUCUCUCUCUCUCUCUCUCUCUCUCUCUCUCUCUCUCUCUCUCUCUCUCUCUCUCUCUCUCUCUCUCUCUCUCUCUCUCU
Molecule: unclassified non-coding RNA, 2536 nt
Filed under: Portunus trituberculatus (swimming crab)
Lineage: Eukaryota; Metazoa; Arthropoda; Malacostraca; Decapoda; Portunidae
Description: uncharacterized LOC123503087, transcript variant X4
Source: RNAcentral